Molecule: ribosomal RNA, 509 nt
Filed under: uncultured bacterium
Lineage: Bacteria
Description: partial 16S ribosomal RNA
Rfam family: Bacterial small subunit ribosomal RNA (bases 20-328)
Source: RNAcentral
GACGAACGCUGGCGGCGUGCUUAACACAUGCAAGUCGAACGGAAAGGCCCUGCUUUUGUGGGGUGCUCGAGUGGCGAACGGGUGAGUAACACGUGAGUAACCUGCCCUUGACUUUGGGAUAACUUCAGGAAACUGGGGCUAAUACCGGAUAGGAGCUCCUGCUGCAUGGUGGGGGUUGGAAAGUUUCGGCGGUUGGGGAUGGACUCGCGGCUUAUCAGCUUGUUGGUGGGGUAGUGGCUUACCAAGGCUUUGACGGGUAGCCGGCCUGAGAGGGUGACCGGCGAGAGUGGGACGGGGGGGCGGCGAAGCAUGAGAGGGGAGGGGGGGGGGGGGAGUAUGGUACGAGGGCGGGAAGCGGGGGGCAGCGGCGCCGGGGGGAGGAUGAGGGCCUGCGGGGGGUACAGCGUGUUCUCUGGGGAGGAAGGGUGAGUGAUGAUGAGGGGGAACGAGGCCACGGGUAACGGCGUGCCAGAGGGGGCGGUAAGAAUAGGAAGGGCACGCGCCGACGC